RNAcentral lists this ribosomal RNA (484 nucleotides) under uncultured bacterium. Its description in RNAcentral is "partial 16S ribosomal RNA". It matches the Rfam family "Bacterial small subunit ribosomal RNA", at positions 30 to 507 of the family's 1533-position model. The record is from RNAcentral.
AUUGAACGCUGGCGGCAGGCCUAACACAUGCAAGUCGAGCGGAUGAAGGGAGCUUGCUCCUGGAUUCAGCGGCGGACGGGUGAGUAACGCCUAGGAAUCUGCCUGGUAGUGGGGGAUAACGUCCGGAAACGGGCGCUAAUACCGCAUACGUCCUGAGGGAGAAAGUGGGGGAUCUUCGGACCUCACGCUAUCAGAUGAGCCUAGGUCGGAUUAGCUAGUUGGUGGGGUAAAGGCCUACCAAGGCGACGAUCCGUAACUGGUCUGAGAGGAUGAUCAGUCACACUGGAACUGAGACACGGUCCAGACUCCUACGGGAGGCAGCAGUGGGGAAUAUUGGACAAUGGGCGAAAGCCUGAUCCAGCCAUGCCGCGUGUGUGAAGAGGGUCUUCGGAUUGUAAAGCACUUUAAGUUGGGAGGAAGGGCAGUAAGUUAAUACCUUGCUGUUUUGACGUUACCAACAGAAUAAGCACCGGCUAACUUCGUG